CGGAGGAUCCAAGCGUUAUCCGGAUUUAUUGGGUUUAAGGGUGCGUAGGCGGGACAGUAAGUCAGUGGUGAAUCCUAUUGCUUAACAAUAGAAUUGCCAUUGAUACUGCUGACCUUGAGUACAAAUGAUGUGGGCGGAAUGUGCAGUGUAGCGGUGAAAUGCUUAGAUAUUGCACAGAACACCGAUAGCGAAGGCAGCUCACAAAAUGUAACUGACGCUGAGGCACGAAAGUAUGGGAUCAAACAGGAUU
Molecule: ribosomal RNA, 250 nt
Filed under: uncultured bacterium
Lineage: Bacteria
Description: partial 16S ribosomal RNA
Rfam family: Bacterial small subunit ribosomal RNA
Source: RNAcentral